UACGGAGGAUCCAAGCGUUAUCCGGAUUCAUUGGGUUUAAAGGGUGCGUAGGCGGAAUGAUAAGUCAGUGGUGAAAUCCUUCAGCUUAACUGGAGAAUUGCCAUUGAUACUGUCAAUCUUGAGUACAUUUGAUGUGGGCGGAAUGUGUCAUGUAGCGGUGAAAUGCUUAGAUAUGACACAGAACACCGAUUGCGAAGGCAGCUCACAAAACUGUAACUGACGCUGAGGCACGAAAGCGUGGGUAUCAAAAAGG
Molecule: ribosomal RNA, 253 nt
Filed under: uncultured bacterium
Lineage: Bacteria
Description: partial 16S ribosomal RNA
Rfam family: Bacterial small subunit ribosomal RNA
Source: RNAcentral